RNAcentral lists this signal recognition particle RNA (316 nucleotides) under Papio anubis (olive baboon). RNAcentral's name for it is "Metazoan signal recognition particle RNA (ENSPANG00000047791.1)". It matches the Rfam family "Metazoan signal recognition particle RNA". Rfam says of the family: The signal recognition particle (SRP) is a universally conserved ribonucleoprotein. It is involved in the co-translational targeting of proteins to membranes. Lineage: Eukaryota; Metazoa; Chordata; Mammalia; Primates; Cercopithecidae. The record is from Rfam by way of RNAcentral.
GCCGGGCGUGGUGGCGGGCGCCUGUGGUCCCAGCUACUUGGGAGGCUGAGGCAGGAGAAUGGCGUGAACCUGGGAGGCGGAGGUUGCAGUGAGCUGAGAUUGCGCCACCACACUCCAGCCUGGGUGAGAGCGAGACUCCGUCUCAAAAAAAAAAAAGUUUUUUGAAAACAUAAGACAGCCUUAAAAGAGUCUGUUCUUUUUUUUUUUUUUUUUUUGAGGCGGAGUCUCGCUCUGUCGCCCAGGCUGGAGUGCAGUGGCGCGAUCUCGGCUCACUGCAAGCUCCGCCUCCCGGGUUCCCGCCAUUCUCCUGCCUCAG